RNAcentral lists this long non-coding RNA (633 nucleotides) under Setaria viridis. RNAcentral's name for it is "long non-coding RNA (SVIR_LNC007583)". The record is from RNAcentral. Lineage: Eukaryota; Viridiplantae; Streptophyta; Magnoliopsida; Poales; Poaceae.
UGGAAACAAGAAAAGUACCGUGAAGUACCUAAAGAGAAGUACCAUGAAGUACCAAUUUGGUGGGACCAAGUACCAAAAAUAGUGAGAAAUUACUGUGAUACCCUUUUAGUUAUGUGUAAAUCUAUUUAAUUCUUUUUUAAAGUAAAAUAAGAAUUGAUACUUUAAAACUAUUGUAACAAAGCUCAACAAAAAUACUUAAUAAAAUGGAUCAUGAGGAAAUUGCUUGACUACAAGGAAUGUUAUUUUAAAUGAUUCAAAAGAGACGAGAUUGGAUAUUCUCUUUUUCCUUGGUUUGCUGACCCUACCAAUUUGCCAACUCCUUUGUUUAGGGAUGACUUCAUCAAUAUAAAUGUAAUUUGUUAACCCUUUAUAUAUGUAUCUGCACUUGGCUCGUAGUACAAAAAUUGCAUCUAAGAGGGGCUCAAAUGUGAAUGUAAAAGUAAAAAGGAUCGACCAUGAAUUACCUAAGUAAUUAACCCUCAACUCACAUAGAGUAAUCUUUUAACUUUAUCUUGGUUUGCGUCUCAUUAAUUAAUCCUUCAUUUUUUUUCCUUUGCAAUGUUCUGUUAUUUUGGAGAGUUGCUCCAGGUCGACAAGCACUAGCUCGUUCAUCAUCCAAAAUUCCAACUCAAC